Unclassified non-coding RNA from Macaca fascicularis (crab-eating macaque), 117 nucleotides. It matches the Rfam family "Metazoan signal recognition particle RNA". From Rfam's summary of the family: The signal recognition particle (SRP) is a universally conserved ribonucleoprotein. It is involved in the co-translational targeting of proteins to membranes. Lineage: Eukaryota; Metazoa; Chordata; Mammalia; Primates; Cercopithecidae. The record is from Ensembl.
GCCAGGUGUGGUGACUCACACCUGUAAUCCAAGCACUCUGGGAGGCUGAGGCGGGUGGAUCACCUGAGAUCAGGAAUUUGAGAUCAGCCUGGUCAACAUGGUGAAACCCUGUCUCUA